GAUCAUGGCUCAGAACGAACGCUGGCGGCGUGGAUAAGACAUGCAAGUCGAACGCGAUUUUCUCGGUUAGCAAUAACUGAGGAAAUUGAGUGGCGAAUGGGUGCGUAACACGUGGGAAUUUAUCCGGAAGUGGGGGAUAGCUCGUCGAAAGGCGAAUUAAUACCGCAUAUGCCUGUAAGGGCAAAGUGGGGGACCGCAAGGCCUCACGCUAUCGGAGGAGCCCGCGCCCUAUCAGCUAGUUGGUGAGGUAAUGGCUCACCAAGGCUUAGACGGGUAGCUGGUCUGAGAGGACGACCAGCCACACUGGAACUGAGACACGGUCCAGACACCUACGGGUGGCAGCAGUCGAGGAUUUUUCUCAAUGGGGGCAACCCUGAAGGAGCGACGCCGCGUGGAGGAUGAAGGGCUUCGGCUCGUAAACUCCUGUCACCGACGAACAAGACAUCCGGAUUAAUAACUCGGAUGUUUGAUGGUAGUCGGAGAGGAAGGGGCGGCUAACUCUGUGCCAGCAGCCGCGGUGAUACAGAGGCCCCAAGCGUUGUUCGGAUUUACUGGGCGUAAAGGGUGUGUAGGGGGUUAGGUUAGUCUGACGUGAAAUACCGUUGCUCAACAACGGAACUGCGUCGGAUACUGCCUAGCUAGAGGUUCGGAGAUGAGGGCGGAAUUCUCGGUGUAGCGGUGAAAUGCGUAGAUAUCGAGAGGAACGCCGAUGGCGAAAGCAGCCCUCAAGACGAAAUCUGACCCUGAAACACGAAGGCCAGGGGAGCAAACGGGAUUAGAUACCCCGGUAGUCCUGGCAGUAAACGGUGCUCAUUAGAUGUAGGCGGAUUCGACCCCGCCUGUGUCGAACCUAACGGAUUAAAUGAGCCGCCUGGGAAGUACGGUCGCAAGAUUAAAACCCAAAGAAAUUGACGGG
This 916-nucleotide ribosomal RNA is filed under the name uncultured bacterium. RNAcentral's name for it is "bacterial SSU rRNA". It matches the Rfam family "Bacterial small subunit ribosomal RNA", at positions 15 to 917 of the family's 1533-position model. The record is from RNAcentral.